UGGUUUUUCUUCAACUUCCAAUGGGAUCUCCAAAACAUGAUAUUUUCUAUUCCAUGGGACACAUUGCUCAAGCUCUUCAUCUUCAGCCAUAGCUAAAGAAAAUUUCAUUAAAGUUUGUAGUUCAGAUUCUUAAAAUUAGGCUCCUCCACUGUUGAACAUAUUAGUUUUGGGAGUAAAAUAAGUAUAUUUCUGUGUAUUUUCAGUAUGAAUAUGCUUUAUGUACUCUUCCUAUUUAUAUACAAGAUAUCUAGAUACAACAGGAAUUCUAG
Molecule: unclassified non-coding RNA, 269 nt
Filed under: Hevea brasiliensis (rubber tree)
Lineage: Eukaryota; Viridiplantae; Streptophyta; Magnoliopsida; Malpighiales; Euphorbiaceae
Source: RNAcentral